Molecule: non-coding RNA, 138 nt
Filed under: Streptomyces sp.
Lineage: Bacteria; Bacillati; Actinomycetota; Actinomycetes; Kitasatosporales; Streptomycetaceae
Source: RNAcentral
GCGGCACGCGGUACCGUCUGUUCGAUAUCGACGACGGCGAGACGGAAGCCGGUGGGAAACCGGCACGGUCGCGCCACUGUGUGCGACGGCUCCCCGGAGCCGCUCGCGAGUCAGACCCGUGGCCGUCGUCCAGUGCAC